Molecule: non-coding RNA, 383 nt
Organism: Camelina sativa (false flax)
Lineage: Eukaryota; Viridiplantae; Streptophyta; Magnoliopsida; Brassicales; Brassicaceae
Source: RefSeq, a predicted model, not a curated record
CUUUGAACUUAGGAUCAAUAAGAGAAAUGCGCAUGUGCUCAGACAUCUCGUUAAUGGGGAUCAGCUCGCCAGUAAUUGGUGAUAUAACAACUUUAGUUGGAUCUCUCUCUGUCGGGAUCCUGUCUUCUGGCCUCUUCCAGUUCUUAACAAUUCUCAUAGGUGCUUCUUCAUCGUGUAGAUUUUCAAUCUUAACAAUCUCUUCUAGGUUUGCUGCUCUCAUUCCUUCUGCAACAAGCUUAACUUCUUCUUCAUCCAUUUCCAUUUCCAUUUCAACCUCCUUUCCAGGCUCAACAAUAUCAUCUUCUUCCAUUGCUGAUACUUUGCUCCUCCUAAUAACCUCGUUAAGUGUCAUAGGCGGUGGCAACUCUUCAUCUUCCUCAUCC